CUCGUAGGCGGUUCGUCGCGUCCGGUGUGAAAGUCCAUCGCUUAACGGUGGAUCUGCGCCGGGUACGGGCGGGCUGGAGUGCGGUAGGGGAGACUGGAAUUCCCGGUGUAACGGUGGAAUGUGUAGAUAUCGGGAAGAACACCAAUGGCGAAGGCGGCCCCCUGGACGAAGACUGACGCUCAGGUGCGAAAGCGUGGGGAGCAAACA
RNAcentral lists this ribosomal RNA (207 nucleotides) under uncultured bacterium. Its description in RNAcentral is "partial 16S ribosomal RNA". It matches the Rfam family "Bacterial small subunit ribosomal RNA", at positions 568 to 774 of the family's 1533-position model. The record is from RNAcentral.